CUUGAUCGUGCCGAGCCAGAGCGGCUGUUCCCGUUCCUGCCCAUAGGUGGCCAGUAGCGCCUGCGCCUC
Molecule: antisense RNA, 69 nt
Filed under: Nocardia tenerifensis
Lineage: Bacteria; Bacillati; Actinomycetota; Actinomycetes; Mycobacteriales; Nocardiaceae
Description: ASpks TB sRNA
Rfam family: ASpks TB sRNA
Source: RNAcentral